UACAGAGGUCCCGAGCGUUGUUCGGAUUCACUGGGCGUAAAGGGUGCGUAGGCGGCUUGGCAAGUCUGAUGUGAAAGCCCCGGGCUUAACCCGGGAAUGGCAUCGGAAACUGCCAGGCUCGAGGCUUGGAGGGGGGACUGGAAUGCUCGGUGUAGCAGUGAAAUGCGUAGAGAUCGAGCGGAACACCGGUGGCGAAGGCGAGUCCCUGGACAAGACCUGACGCUGAGGCACGAAAGCCAGGGGAGCAAACAGG
This 253-nucleotide ribosomal RNA is filed under the name uncultured bacterium. RNAcentral's name for it is "partial 16S ribosomal RNA". It matches the Rfam family "Bacterial small subunit ribosomal RNA", at positions 524 to 776 of the family's 1533-position model. The record is from RNAcentral.